Long non-coding RNA from Misgurnus anguillicaudatus (oriental weatherfish), 871 nucleotides. RefSeq lists it as uncharacterized. Lineage: Eukaryota; Metazoa; Chordata; Actinopteri; Cypriniformes; Cobitidae. The record is from RefSeq and is a predicted model, not a curated record.
CAAAUCCUUUUAGUAAGAGAGGUGGGCAGAUUUAGUUUUGGUGAAGCUGUGAUGGGCGGGUGUUUUAUCAACACAUCACACAUAAAUCCUUGAGAAUAAAAGCCCCUGUCUGUCCACUUUAUGAACACAUCUCAGUUCAACAGAAACUUCAGAAGAAUACAAGACAACUGUAAAAAUGAAUAAAAUGUGGAUCUUGUGCCUUGGGAUACUGAUCAUGACUUUACCAUUUUCAGCUUCACAGAUGAUUAUUACAGAAGAUAAUCGAGAAGUUAGGGUAGCUAGAGGACAAGUUGGUAAAGAUAUCACCGCUGCAGGAUGGAGUCCUAUGUCCACCCCACUGUGUCUACUGAUACCAGCAGCCACGCUCCUCAUCCUCUACGGCAAAUCUUAAACUGGAUGAAGGAAGUUUGCCGUCAAUCCAGAAGACAGUGAUAACAAGAACGGUUUGAAAUUCUACAAAAGAAAGAAAAAAAAUAUCUGAGCUCAUACUUAUGGAUUUUUUAAAAUAAGGAAUAAAAAUUGAAGUUAUGUAAUAACAUUGUACACUGUAUAAUAUGAAUCUUGUCAGUGUCAUCUUUCUUCUCUUACAAUAUUUUAUUAUAAACAAACACUGAAUCAAUAUGUACAAUUAAAGCAGAUGAUUCUAUGUGUUUGCAUGUCACCUUUUAUUCAUCCUGGCAUUAACAUUUGUCUUUAUAACAUACUAUAAAAAUAGUUUUACUAUGUGUUAAGGUUGUAAUGUUAAGAUCCACCGGAAGAGAAGAUGAUGUUUGUUCAAUGCUACAAAAAUUACAGUGUAACCAGUUUGUUUUAUCUUAGUGGUUAAAAACCUACAUAUGAAGUGCUAAAAAAUAAAAGUUUGAAACCAUAA